RNAcentral lists this ribosomal RNA (446 nucleotides) under uncultured bacterium. Its description in RNAcentral is "partial 16S ribosomal RNA". It matches the Rfam family "Bacterial small subunit ribosomal RNA", at positions 338 to 795 of the family's 1533-position model. The record is from RNAcentral.
CCUACGGGGGGCUGCAGUCGAGAAUCAUUCACAAUGGGGGAAACCCUGAUGGUGCGACGCCGCGUGGGGGAAUGAAGGUCUUCGGAUUGUAAACCCCUGUCAUGUGGGAGCAAAUUAAAAAGAUAGUACCACAAGAGGAAGAGACGGCUAACUCUGUGCCAGCAGCCGCGGUAAUACAGAGGUCUCAAGCGUUGUUCGGAAUCACUGGGCGUAAAGCGUGCGUAGGCUGUUUCGUAAGUCGUGUGUGAAAGGCGCGGGCUCAACCCGCGGACGGCACAUGAUACUGCGAGACUAGAGUAAGGGAGGGGGAACCGGAAGUCUCGGUGUAGCAGUGAAAUGCGUAGAUAUCGAGAGGAACACUCGUGGCGAAGGCGGGUUCCUGGACAUUAACUGACGCUGAGGCACGAAGGCCAGGGGAGCGAAAGGGAUUAGAUACCCGGGUAGUC